CCUACGGGGGGCAGCAGUGAGGAAUAUUGGUCAAUGGCCGAGAGGCUGAACCAGCCAAGUAGCGUGAGGGAUGAAUGCCCUAUGGGUUGUAAACCUCUUUUAUCUGGGAAUAAAGCAGCGUAUGCAUACCCUCUGGUGUGUACCAUAUGAAUAAGGAUCGGCUAACUCCGUGCCAGCAGCCGCGGUAAUACGGAGGAUCCGAGCGUUAUCCGGAUUUAUUGGGUUUAAAGGGAGCGUAGGUGGAUUGUUAAGUCAGUGGUGAAAGUUUGCGGCUCAACCGUAAACCUGCAGUUGAAACUGGCAGUCUUGAGUACAGGAGAGGUAGGCGGAAUGCGUGGUGUAGCGGUGAAAUGCUUAGAUAUCACGAAGAACUCCGAUUGCGAAGGCAGCUCACUGGACUGCAACUGACACUGAUGCUCGAAAGUGUGGGUAUCAAACAGGAUUAGAUACCCGAGUAGUC
Molecule: ribosomal RNA, 460 nt
Filed under: uncultured bacterium
Lineage: Bacteria
Description: partial 16S ribosomal RNA
Rfam family: Bacterial small subunit ribosomal RNA
Source: RNAcentral